RNAcentral lists this ribosomal RNA (250 nucleotides) under uncultured prokaryote. Its description in RNAcentral is "partial 16S ribosomal RNA". It matches the Rfam family "Bacterial small subunit ribosomal RNA", at positions 524 to 773 of the family's 1533-position model. The record is from RNAcentral.
GACGAACUGUUCUAACGUUAUUCGGAAUCACUGGGCUUAAAGGGCGCGUAGGCGGUUUGACAAGCGGGGUCUGAAAUCCCUCGGCUCAACCGAGGAACUGGGCUCCGAACUGUCGGACUAGAGUGAAGCAGGGGCAAGCGGAACUUGCGGUGGAGCGGUGAAAUGCUUUGAUAUCGCAAGGAACACCGGCGGCGUAAGCGGCUUGCUUGGCUUUAACUGACGCUCAAGCGCGAAAGCUAGGGUAGCGAAC